UACUUUUUCAUCUCUCUGAAAAUUAAAAGUUUUGAAGGUUUGGCAGGAGGUUCUGUGUAGUUCAGUAGAGGGAGGGAGCCCACGAUCAACUGGGAAACUUUAUAUACAUUAAUAAUCAAAAGGGAAAAGAAAAGUCUCAGGUUUCAAUCCCCUCUGAAUAUAUUUCUUCAUUUUCAUCCUCACAGAGGUGAUCCCAACCGAGACGAUGCUGGAAGGUUUUCAACAAGAUGAACAUGACAACCUCUGGCCGACAGCUUCCACCUUCAUCAUCCUCUUCUUCCUGAGUAUUUUCUACAGUGCCACGGUCACUCUAUUUAAGGUAAAAUGAGUUUAUUACCAUCAGCUUCACCGAUGUUCCUCAUCUGUUUGUGUUUAUCUUCAAUUUCCUGUGACAGAGUGUGUGAUGUCUUGUUUCACCCAAUGAACGCAUUCAUGGGAAGUAAACAUUGUAUUGUACAACUACAUGAAUUUUAGUGACUUUUCUUAUUGUUAGUCUAUGUUACAAUGUGCCUUUUGUUAAUAAUAUAUAACCUUGUUAUUUCAUGUACUGUCACACCUCUCUGAUAUUCUUUAUUUGCUGUUUACUAUUUGUGUGGUGUAAUGAUACAGAAAGACAGAGGCUGUUAUAUUUUGUCCUUUUAUUUCAUUCUGAAGAUGAGUAUUUGUGAUCCGAUCCUAUUCCAUAAUGCCUACAGAUUCUCUCUAUUUGUUUGCCCGAAGUAUCAAUAAAUGAUAAAAGUUA
Molecule: long non-coding RNA, 742 nt
Organism: Callorhinchus milii (elephant shark)
Lineage: Eukaryota; Metazoa; Chordata; Chondrichthyes; Chimaeriformes; Callorhinchidae
Exons: 2
Source: RefSeq, a predicted model, not a curated record